UACCCAAGCGGCUUAAGGGGGCGGUUUGCAAAACCGUUAUUCACCGGUUCGAAUCCUGAG
Molecule: transfer RNA, 60 nt
Filed under: Candidatus Omnitrophota bacterium
Lineage: Bacteria; Pseudomonadati; Candidatus Omnitrophota
Description: tRNA-Cys
Source: RNAcentral